Molecule: non-coding RNA, 27 nt
Filed under: Rattus norvegicus (Norway rat)
Lineage: Eukaryota; Metazoa; Chordata; Mammalia; Rodentia; Muridae
Source: RNAcentral
UGAAUCAUACUUAACUGCCUCCCAUCU